This 96-nucleotide small RNA is filed under the name Agarivorans albus MKT 106. RNAcentral's name for it is "t44 RNA". It matches the Rfam family "t44 RNA". Rfam says of the family: This family consists of a number of bacterial RNA genes of between 135 and 170 bases in length. The t44 gene is found between the map and rpsB genes in all species in the full alignment apart from Shigella flexneri. The record is from Rfam by way of RNAcentral. Lineage: Bacteria; Pseudomonadati; Pseudomonadota; Gammaproteobacteria; Alteromonadales; Alteromonadaceae.
AUAUUUAUAUUUUAAACACACACACACAUCGUCACGUUUUCCGGGGUGCUGGGCAAUUUGGUCUGGUCGGUAAAAUGGGAUGUGUGGAGGCCUAAC